UCCCUGGUGGCUCAGAGGUUAAAGCGUCUGCCUGGAAUGAAGGAGACCCGGGUUCGAUCCCUGGGUGGGGAA
Non-coding RNA from Bos taurus (domestic cattle), 72 nucleotides. The record is from Rfam. Lineage: Eukaryota; Metazoa; Chordata; Mammalia; Artiodactyla; Bovidae.